CAACAGAUGAUGCUUCUUCAU
This 21-nucleotide small nuclear RNA is filed under the name Arabidopsis thaliana (thale cress). Its description in RNAcentral is "snRNA_06473". The record is from RNAcentral. Lineage: Eukaryota; Viridiplantae; Streptophyta; Magnoliopsida; Brassicales; Brassicaceae.